UAUCCCUGAUCUGGGUGGCACCUGGUUUGGUGGUGCUUGUUGCAUAUCAGCCAGGGACAAAGUAACUCCUUGUUCAUCUCAGCUUGGCUUUUGGUCUGUGCUCAUGCCUGGUUCAUGGCCUGGACACAUGG
Small nucleolar RNA from Pteropus vampyrus (large flying fox), 131 nucleotides. The record is from Ensembl. NCBI's taxonomy places the organism in Eukaryota, Metazoa, Chordata, Mammalia, Chiroptera, Pteropodidae.